Molecule: long non-coding RNA, 260 nt
Organism: Rana temporaria (common frog)
Lineage: Eukaryota; Metazoa; Chordata; Amphibia; Anura; Ranidae
Exons: 3
Source: RefSeq, a predicted model, not a curated record
CUGACCUCUCUGGCCACUUUUUGUCAUUACAGGUAAAAAUAUAUAUAUAUACAAUCAAUAAACUUUUACGCUGUGACACUUCGGGCCAAAGGUCUUGCUACGCUGUGAUUGAUAUUAGAUGCCAGUCCUCACUCCUCUCCUUACCAUCUGAGGCUUGCCAUGCGUCCCGAUUGCGAUGUCCUUUUAAGGGGUGUGCUGAGCCGUUGAAACUUCUCGGGUGAAAAGUUGUCUGUUACACUUUCUGACUCCACACAUACUUC